AAUGGUAGUCUGGCCCUGUGAGG
RNAcentral lists this non-coding RNA (23 nucleotides) under Cricetulus griseus (Chinese hamster). Lineage: Eukaryota; Metazoa; Chordata; Mammalia; Rodentia; Cricetidae. The record is from RNAcentral.